This is a long non-coding RNA of Tyto alba (common barn owl), 1636 nucleotides long. RefSeq lists it as uncharacterized. The record is from RefSeq and is a predicted model, not a curated record. Lineage: Eukaryota; Metazoa; Chordata; Aves; Strigiformes; Tytonidae. The transcript has 4 exons.
UUCACCCCUCCCGCCGCGGCUCCGCCCCGGUCGCCCCCGCAGCCCCGGAACGCGCCUCCACAGCAGCCCCACCGCCUCCCACCUGUGAGAAACAAGCUCACGUAUAUAAAAAAAAAAAAAAAAAAAGUUUUAUUCGGGGACAAAGUCAGUGGAGCAAAGAAUACAGCGCUGGGCGCAGUGGCGCGCACCCCGCCGCGGCCGGGGGCUUCGUUUUAUAGAGCAACCAGGAGAUUUCAUUGGUUAAGCAAAAAUGGUUCACAGAGUGGUGACUUUGCCUUCAGGAGGAAAUCCACCUUGGCAAGUUCGCAGCUUCUCUCUUUUUUUCCCUGCCCAGUUCUACAGCUGUGGCUGUUGGUUAUCUUCCAGUUUUCAGCUCCACAAAAAAUUGUAGUAGUGCAACUGAAGAAAUGACUCUGGAGCAGUAGCUGAUGUGGCUGUUCAAAGAAAUGUGCUGAGGUCCAGCUGGCAGUGUUGCGGGGAUGAAUCUGCUCCUAAACAGGUGCAAAUCCUCUGCCUUCCUACAUUGCCUUCCACAACUUCGUUCAAGCUCACCUCUGAAUACAGCCAGACAUUUGACAUUCCCUGGGACGUCUCCUGUAAGGACUCCUCGCAGACUUCAGAAGCGUGUGUGGCUUGGAAAGAUAUCUCUGUGUUCAUUUAGUUUCACUUCCUUUUCAGAGAGAGAAAUGUAGGGUAGCACUGGUUUGAAUUAACAGAUUUCCUUCUGCCUUAAAGUUUAUUUGAAUUAAGAUAAUCAGCCCUCUCUUCAGUUUUUCUUCUAGGUGCAUUUAUAAAUCAGCAUUUUUAUCUGAGUUUACUACUAACCAUGCCUGAGUGUGACAGUAAUGAAGCAAUUCACCCAUCACUUUGGGAUUAUUUGUUGUAUUACAGUAGGAACUUCUUGUCAGACAUGAAGAGCUCUUUGUACUAUGAAGACAACUUACACUGCUCUUUUGUACCGAAUAUACUACUACACUAUCCUGAAGCCAAUUAAACCAUGUGGUAUGUUAAAAAAAGGGCAUGCUUGUAUUCGUAUGUUCUUGAUUUAGACUCACUGAAGAAAUCUAUGGUAAUUCUGCCGUUUCAUUGGCUCUAGACCAUGUUUCAUAAAAAUUUGGCAUUGUAGUGUAUGUUGGGUGUAAAUCUAUCACUUUUUAAUAAGACAGGAAACAGUAUUUCUGGUUUCCCCUUUACAGGCCAAAUUCAUCAUCUGCCUCUCAGAGAAAGUGUUCUGAUGUGGGACCUGGAAAAGCCUUUGUGACCAAACCUCUGGAGUAGGUUCUUUUUUUUUUCAGUGUCAACUAUAUGCUUGUAACAAAGACUGUUAACCAAGAUUGUGCUUUCCAAAACAUAUUGUCUCCAAUGCCAGAAGGCAUCAUGAUGUUUAAAUUAAGGUUCUGGGAGGCUACCUCAUCCAUCUAAAAUACAGUGUCCCGAGUCCCAUUCCUACAGAUUCAUGUAACUUUUCAAUUUUUAUUGUGAACAAUAUAAUUCUUUUAUAUCUGCCCUAUUACUCUUUCUGCUUUCUUUUGAAACACAAGUAUGUUGCCAGUUUGUUGCCUCUGCUGUAUUUUCAACUACUGUCUUUAUUUUGCUUCUUCCAGAGAUGCUCAUUAAAAAGUGUACUUUUAGUCAA